CAGCAGCCACGGGAAUACGUAGGUGGCAAGCGUUGUCCGGAAUUAUUGGGCGUAAAGGGCUCGCAGGCGGUUUCUUAAGUCUGAUGUGAAAGCCCCCGGCUCAACCGGGGAGGGUCAUUGGAAACUGGGAAACUUGAGUGUAGAAGAGGAGAGUGGAAUUCCACGUGUAGCGGUGAAAUGCGUAGAGAUGUGGAGGAACACCAGUGGCGAGGGCGACUCUCUGGUCUGUAACUGACGCUGAGGAACGAAAGCGUGGGGAGCGAACAGGAUUAGAUACCCCCGUAGUCCCUGUCUCUUAUAC
This 301-nucleotide ribosomal RNA is filed under the name uncultured bacterium. Its description in RNAcentral is "partial 16S ribosomal RNA". It matches the Rfam family "Bacterial small subunit ribosomal RNA", at positions 509 to 807 of the family's 1533-position model. The record is from RNAcentral.